This 716-nucleotide ribosomal RNA is filed under the name Meloidogyne sp. Mj_c1. RNAcentral describes it as "LSU rRNA". It matches the Rfam family "Eukaryotic large subunit ribosomal RNA", at positions 367 to 944 of the family's 3401-position model. The record is from RNAcentral. Lineage: Eukaryota; Metazoa; Nematoda; Chromadorea; Rhabditida; Meloidogynidae.
CAAAGCACUUUGAAGAGAGAGUUAAAGAGGACGUGAAACCGGUAAGGUGGAAACGGAUAGAGUCGGCGUAUCAUUCAAUUAUUCAGUUACAUUAUUUUUAUGUUGUGACCUCUGAGCUCCAGAUUGGGACAGAGGGAAUCAGCAUAAUUUUUUGUGGUGCAUUUACUUGAUUGGUGCUUGGGGAUGUUUGAGGCAGAUUUGUUUCCGUCGUUUUGAGGCCAGCUUGCUGGUACCCAAACGGUGUUAGCAUUUUUUGUCUUGGGCAUUUGAGUAUGGCUCACGUGUAUUUAUUGGACAGAUCUGAGUGUAAGUUACGGUCGCAUGCGACACGUGCUUUUCAAUUAGUUCGGUCCAGUUAAUGCUCUCGUACUCGUUCCCCAUGUAAAAGCCGGUCAUCUAUCCGACCCGUCUUGAAACACGGACCAAGGAGUUUAUCGUGUGCGCAAGUUUUUGGGUGUUAAAAACUUAAAAGCGAAAUGAAAGUAAAUGACUCUUUAGAGUCUGAUGUGCGAUCUUGUAAAAAAGUGUAGCAUGGCCCCAUUCUAACUGUUUACAGUAGGGUGGCGGAAGAGCGUACGCGGUGAGACCCGAAAGAUGGUGAACUAUUCCUGAGCAGGACGAAGCCGGAGGAAACUCUGGUGGAAGUCCGAAGCGGUUCUGACGUGCAAAUCGAUCGUCUGACUUGGGUAUAGGGGCGAAAGACUAAUCGAACCAUC